Molecule: long non-coding RNA, 1745 nt
Filed under: Olea europaea subsp. europaea
Lineage: Eukaryota; Viridiplantae; Streptophyta; Magnoliopsida; Lamiales; Oleaceae
Source: RNAcentral
CAAAAGUAUGAAUCAGGAACCAAAUAUAUAACUAACCAACAAAAAGGACGAGAAACAAUACAUCAAUAUUAACUUAAAUCACAAACUCCAGCAACUCUUUGAAUUCAAAUCAUAAUUAACUAAAAUUAAUUCUCCCUGCUCAACAAUAACAAAUGGCAGACAAGGAAAGGAAUUAUUAGCGUUGUUCUCCUCUAUGAAAUUGAUUGUUGAGUUAAUGACCAGAAGAGUGAUAAUCCCAAUAAAGUCCUCCCAAUCUGGUGGUUUUCCCCGUAAAGAUUAAAAAUGUAGGUAGACUGAUAAUAAGACUGAUAAUAAUGAGAUCGACGUGAGUGAUGCCUCAAGACUAAACAGAUUCCCAUAGUUCUUCAACUUUAGCUUGACUUCUCGAAGUUCUAUUGACCGCGUGAUCCUUAUUAACUAACUCAGGGAAGCCUAAUUAUUUGUUUAUUUGCAAUAUAGUUUUGCUUAAUAAUUUUUUUAUUACUCAUUCACGUAACAAGAAAUAAGCACUUUCGAAAAACCAACAGUAGUAGGUUGACUCUGGCCUCCAAUUGUCUAGGCCUAACUGUAAAGGGGGAGGGCAUAUAUAGAGGGUUAAGUUGCAACUAUAAAGCAAUUCUUUAGCUUUUUGUAUUCAAAUAAUGUCAAAUCAAUGGAAUUACAGAAAGAUUCAUCACGCCCUUUAUUUAACAAGACAAAAUUGAUAAUUGAACUUUCACUUUUCAAACUCAAUUUAUUAUCCUCAACUAAGUGAAGUACUGAGGCAAGAACAGUACUAGUAAGUCAAUUUUUGCAUAUAAUUUCCCUGAUUAAACCAUGCUUUAAGAAGAGAUUUGGUCAUAGUAUCUUUGUAAGUAAAAACUAACAGCGGGAUUCAGGCUGAAUGAGAAUUAAGACAGUUUCUUUAUUGCAGAGUUCUGAUUGAUAAGGCAAUAAAUUAAGACAGUUGAAUAAGCAUUUUAUAGUACGUGCUAUACAAUUAAUGUGGUAGAAUAAGGUUCAAUGGAAACCAGAGCCAAAAGUGGAUACACGGAACAAAGACAAAACAAAGUCAGAACAACGACUCCGUCUCAUAAAUUAGUAGAAGCACAAUAUUAAUCAGAAGUUCAGGACACAAAACAUUAUGAUGAUUUGGAAACCAUAACAUUUUCAAUCGAGUUUGAACCUCCACUUUACUGUGGAUCGCAGAUAUUCCACUUCAACCCAAUAAAUGAAUUGACUCAAAACAUUAUGAUAAUUUGGAACCCAAAACAUUUUCAAUGGAGUUUGAACCUUCAAUUUACUGUAGAUCUCAUAUAUUUCAUUGCAACCAGAUAAAUGAAUCGAUAGAAACCCAAUAAACGAAUUUGUAACCUAAUUUGAAUUUCACAUUAAUUUCCAACAAAAUAGAUAACAACCCAACAAAUAAAAACCAAUAAUGAUACCUCUAAGCUGUCUUUGGCCCUAGCUUAGAUCUUUAGGUUACUGGGCUUGACGGCUGAUGGCUGAUUCAAGGUGGCGGGACGAUAAUCUUGUGGCGGGUCAGAGCAGAGAAAAUUGAAGGGAGAAGAAGAAAAAAAAGGUUGAACCCCAACCUUAAGGGCCUCCACCGACCCUGCCCUGGGCCAUCGUGGAGGAGGUAAAUCGCAGGAUGUGCCUCCCAGGAGCCAGGGUGGAGAGCACAUGGAUAGGUCAAGACUGUUAACCCAUAUGGUAACUCCCGCUUGCAACAAAGCCAAUUCCACCUUGCGGGGAAUCGAACUCUG